UACGGAGGGUGCAAACGUUGCUCGGAAUUAUUGGGCGUAAAGCGCACGUAGGCGGACCAUCAAGUCGGAUGUGAAAUCCCUCGGCUCAACCGAGGAACUGCGUCCGAUACUGGUGGGCUUGAAUCCGGGAGAGGGAUGUGGAAUUCCAGGUGUAGCGGUGAAAUGCGUAGAUAUCUGGAGGAACACCGGUGGCGAAGGCGGCAUCCUGGACCGGUAUUGACGCUGAUGCGCGAAAGCCAGGGGAGCAAACGGG
This 253-nucleotide ribosomal RNA is filed under the name uncultured bacterium. RNAcentral's name for it is "partial 16S ribosomal RNA". It matches the Rfam family "Bacterial small subunit ribosomal RNA", at positions 524 to 776 of the family's 1533-position model. The record is from RNAcentral.